RNAcentral lists this ribosomal RNA (812 nucleotides) under Phomatodes nebulosa. Its description in RNAcentral is "eukaryotic LSU rRNA". It matches the Rfam family "Eukaryotic large subunit ribosomal RNA", at positions 88 to 918 of the family's 3401-position model. Lineage: Eukaryota; Fungi; Ascomycota; Dothideomycetes; Pleosporales; Didymellaceae. The record is from RNAcentral.
GGCGAGUGAAGCGGCAACAGCUCAAAUUUGAAAUCUGGCGUCUUUGGCGUCCGAGUUGUAAUUUGCAGAGGGCGCUUUGGCAUUGGCAGCGGUCCAAGUUCCUUGGAACAGGACGUCACAGAGGGUGAGAAUCCCGUACGUGGUCGCUAGCCUUUACCGUGUAAAGCCCCUUCGACGAGUCGAGUUGUUUGGGAAUGCAGCUCUAAAUGGGAGGUAAAUUUCUUCUAAAGCUAAAUACUGGCCAGAGACCGAUAGCGCACAAGUAGAGUGAUCGAAAGAUGAAAAGCACUUUGGAAAGAGAGUUAAAAAGCACGUGAAAUUGUUGAAAGGGAAGCGCUUGCAGCCAGACUUGCCUGUAGUUGCUCAUCCGGGUUUUUACCCGGUGCACUCUUCUAUAGGCAGGCCAGCAUCAGUUUGGGCGGUUGGAUAAAGGUCUCUGUCAUGUACCUCUCUUCGGGGAGAACUUAUAGGGGAGACGACAUGCAACCAGCCUGGACUGAGGUCCGCGCAUCUGCUAGGAUGCUGGCGUAAUGGCUGUAAGCGGCCCGUCUUGAAACACGGACCAAGGAGUCUAACAUCUAUGCGAGUGUUUGGGUGUCAAGCCCGAACGCGUAAUGAAAGUGAACGGAGGUGGGAACCUUUCGGGGUGCACCAUCGACCGAUCCUGAUGUCUUCGGAUGGAUUUGAGUAAGAGCAUAGCUGUUGGGACCCGAAAGAUGGUGAACUAUGCUUGAAUAGGGUGAAGCCAGAGGAAACUCUGGUGGAGGCUCGCAGCGGUUCUGACGUGCAAAUCGAUCGUCAAAUUUGGGCAU